AAUUGGUGAUGGGGAUAUUGGCUUAUAAGAAGAUUAUAACGUUCCCAAGCUUCAUUAAACAAUUUACCAUGUUGCAAUCAAAAAGUGGAUCUUGUCCCUUAAUUU
This is a small nucleolar RNA of Prosopis cineraria, 105 nucleotides long. Lineage: Eukaryota; Viridiplantae; Streptophyta; Magnoliopsida; Fabales; Fabaceae. The record is from RefSeq and is a predicted model, not a curated record.